GGUUAUGGCUCAGUGGUAGAGUGCUUGCCUCGCACAUGCGGGGCCCUGGGUUGGAUCCUCAGCACCA
Molecule: transfer RNA, 67 nt
Filed under: Marmota monax (woodchuck)
Lineage: Eukaryota; Metazoa; Chordata; Mammalia; Rodentia; Sciuridae
Description: tRNA.Ala
Source: RNAcentral